GACGAACGCUGGCGGCGUGCUUAACACAUGCAAGUCGAACGGGCCUGCCUGGCUUUGGUUGGGUGGGUGAGUGGCGAACGGGUGAGUAACACGUGAGUAACCUGCCCUCUUCUCUUGGAUAACUGCUUGAAAGGGCGGCUAAUACGGGAUGUUCUGGCUGCCUCGCAUGGGGUGGUUUGGAAAGAUUCGGCCUGGUUUUGGUUGUUUUGGUGGGGGAUGGGCUCGCGGCUUAUCAGCUUGUUGGUGGGGUGAUGGCCUACCAAGGCGGUGACGGGUAGCCGGCCUGAGAGGGUGGACGGUCACACUGGGACUGAGACACGGCCCAGACUCCUCGGGAGGCAGCAGUGGGGGAUUUUGCACAAUGGGCGCAAGCCUGAUGCAGCGACGCCGCGUGAGGGAUGGAGGCCUUCGGGUUGUGAACCUCUGUCGCCGGUGAUGUAGGCUCUGCUUUGU
This 453-nucleotide ribosomal RNA is filed under the name Actinomyces sp. oral taxon 448. Its description in RNAcentral is "bacterial SSU rRNA". It matches the Rfam family "Bacterial small subunit ribosomal RNA", at positions 28 to 462 of the family's 1533-position model. The record is from RNAcentral. Lineage: Bacteria; Bacillati; Actinomycetota; Actinomycetes; Actinomycetales; Actinomycetaceae.